RNAcentral lists this ribosomal RNA (484 nucleotides) under uncultured bacterium. Its description in RNAcentral is "partial 16S ribosomal RNA". It matches the Rfam family "Bacterial small subunit ribosomal RNA", at positions 48 to 523 of the family's 1533-position model. The record is from RNAcentral.
CUAACACAUGCAAGUCGAGCGGCAGCGAGGUUAGUAGCAAUACUAAUUGUCGGCGAGCGGCGGACGGGUGAGGAACACGUAGGGAUCUGCCUUAGCGAGGGGGAUAACCAAGGGAAACUUUGGCUAAUACCGCAUAAACUCGGGAGAGAAAAGCUGCCUGCAAGGCUGGCGCUUCAAGCGGAACCUGCGUCCGAUUGGCGAGUUGGUAGGGUAAAGGCCUACCAAGGCGAUGAUCGGUAACUGGUCUGAGAGGACGACCAGUCACACUGGGACUGAGACACGGCCCAGACUCCUACGGGAGGCAGCAGUGGGGAAUCUUGGACAAUGGGGGCAACCCUGAUCCAGCGAUGCCGCGUGGGUGAAGAAGGCCUUCGGGUUGUAAAGCCCUUUAGGUUGGGAAGAAGUGCAUAAGUUUAAGAGAUGUAUGCAUUGACGGUACCGACAGAAUAAGCACCGGCAAACUCUGUGCCAGCAGCCGCAGUAA